CCAGGUCUCGCCCAGCGUGGUGUUCACAA
This 29-nucleotide ribosomal RNA is filed under the name Escherichia coli E22. RNAcentral describes it as "partial Small subunit ribosomal RNA". Lineage: Bacteria; Pseudomonadati; Pseudomonadota; Gammaproteobacteria; Enterobacterales; Enterobacteriaceae. The record is from RNAcentral.